CCUACGGGAGGCAGCAGUGAGGAAUAUUGGUCAAUGGGCGAGAGCCUGAACCAGCCAAGUCGCGUGAAGGAUGACGGCCCUACGGGUUGUAAACUUCUUUUGUCAGGGAGCAAUUGAGUCCACGUGUGGUCUUAGCGAGAGUACCUGAAGAACAAGCAUCGGCUAACUCCGUGCCAGCAGCAGCGGUAAUACGGAGGAUGCGAGCGUUAUCCGGAUUUAUUGGGGUUAAAGGGUGCGUAGGCGGAAUAUCAAGUCAGCGGUAAAAAUUCGGGGCUCAACCCCGUCGUGGCGUUGAAACUGGUGUUCUUGAGUGGGCGAGAAGGAUGCGGAAUUGGUGGUGUAGCGGUGGAAUGCAUAGAUAUCACGCAGAACUCCGGUUGCGAAGGCAGCCUAACGGCGCCCAACUGACGCUGAAGCACGAAAGCGUGGGGAUCGAACAGGAUUAGAUACCCCAGUAGUC
This 460-nucleotide ribosomal RNA is filed under the name uncultured bacterium. Its description in RNAcentral is "partial 16S ribosomal RNA". It matches the Rfam family "Bacterial small subunit ribosomal RNA", at positions 338 to 795 of the family's 1533-position model. The record is from RNAcentral.